RNAcentral lists this long non-coding RNA (2004 nucleotides) under Homo sapiens (human). Its description in RNAcentral is "HSALNT0242193". The record is from RNAcentral. Lineage: Eukaryota; Metazoa; Chordata; Mammalia; Primates; Hominidae.
UCUGAGUCCAUGCAGGGGUUCGGGAUUCUGGGGCUUUUCCUUCAUGGUGGGUGAAAUCAGGAGGAAGGUGCCAGGUUGGACUUGGGCACACAGGAGUGUGGGUGGCCUUUAUUUUGAAAGAGGAUAAGAAUUAGGGACAAGGAGGUUGGUUCCAGACCUUAUUUUCAUGUGUGAGGGCCAGGAGGCACUCCCCUGUCCUUUUCUGUUUUCUCUGCCGUGGUUCGUGGGGCGAUGUGAUAUAUGGGUCACCACCACGGCUUGGCUGCCUCCUUCCACCACAUCCCCUCCCAUCCGGGCCUCUGUGGACUUGCCAGACUAGGCCCCCUCCUGGGUGUGGAUAAUUUGGAAUCAGUUAAAAGGGAGUCUUGAUGCGUGGAUUUGGGUCCCCAAACUGCCACCUCCUUUGGCUCUUUCCUGACCCUGAAGAGAACCUGACCCGGAUGUACCAAGACCUUGCCGGAAGCCUCUAGCCAGAGCAGCUGGCCCUGGACUCCCACUGGGACACUGACUGGGAGAUUCUUAGAGCACUGAACGAUUGGCCCUCCACCUUCCCAGCGGCUCUUUGGGAAAAGAUGCCCAUUGCAUGAAGCGGGGCCUCUCAAGGAGGAGCCCCAGGUCACCUGUUGCAACAGAAUCGCCUGGGAGCUCCAAGGCCCAGCCCCAACCCAUACCCAAUGAGUCUGAAUCUCCAGGAGGUGCCCAGACAUCUGCACAUCCAGCAGGUUCCCAGCUUCACAUUGUAAGGCUCCACCUCUUUCCACCCCCAGGAUCUUCAGGGGCACAGUAAAGUGUCCACCAUGAGCUGCCUUCACCCCAGCCCUUGGGACCAUGUGGGGACCGGGUGGGAACUCUGGGCUCCUGUGACACUCAGACCAAGCCCCUCACAUUGCAGGGGCCCUGCUCAGCAUCCUGGAGGGGAGCAACCCUUCUGGGACCAGGAAAACCCAAUUUUGUCCUCCAUUUCUGUUCCUCCUGGGGGCUGUGAACCUCAGGCAGGGUCCCUCGGUCUGGGUCCCGUAUGAACUCCUCUUCACCUUUCUGGCCAGGUUAUCAGAAUGGGCAGGGUUGUAAGUGGUUCAGAGUUUGAGCUCUGGGGUCAGGCGGAGCCGAGUUCAGCCUUGGCACAUUCCCCUGCACCAGCCCGUGCCCUGGGGUGAACCCCUGGGCUCCCUUGGCCUCUUCUCAGCUCCUCACUGUGUCCCACCCCUCUGCCAUCUCCUCUUCUCCCCUCCAGCUAUGGGACGAUCUGUCCCGAGUUCACUUUCUUCUUUUCUAUUUCCUACUCCCAUGUCCCCAAACACAUCCCGCCCUACAGUUCCCCACCUCCAGGCCCUGCACGGGCCCUUUGCUCUGUUUGGCAUGCUCCUGCCCUCCUGCAUCCUGGCAGUCUAAACUUUAAGUGAGACCUGCAUGGAGCAGGGAGACUGGCCAGAAGUCUUAAUUAACUUCAAAAUUUAAAGCUGGAAGAGAGGGAUAUGAUUUGGCUCUGUGUCCCCACCCAAAUCUGAUGUCGAAUUGUAAUUCCCAAUGUUGGGGGAGGGACCUGGUGGGAGGUGAUUGGAUCGUGGGGGCAGAUUCCCCCCCUUCGUGUUCUUGUGAUAGUGAGUGAGUUCUCAUGAGAUCUGUUUGCUUAAAAGUGUGUAGCAUCUCCCCCUUUGCUCUCUCUCUCCUGCUGCUAUGUGAAGAUGUGGUUGCUUCCCCUUCACCUACCACCAUGGUUAUGUUUCCUGAGGCCUCCCAGCCAUGCUUCCUGCAUAGCCUGUGGAACUGUGAGUCAAUUAAAUCUGUUUUCUUCAUAAAUUACCCAGCCUCAGGUAGUUCUUUAUGGUAGUGUGAGAACAGACUAACACAGAGAGUUUUAAAUUCUUUAGUUGUAGGCCUUUGCCCAGGAUGGAGUAGCAGGGACUGUAUUUCCUUCCCCUUCAAAACUUUCAGACAGCUGGAGAGGAUAUAUGGAACAUCAGUUUCAAGGUACUGGACAUCAGGCAAUGAAGGAAAGAAAUU